CGACCUUAGGACAGCGUGAGCCAAACCUCUCCAAGGGUGAACGGGUGAGAACACUGGGCCCAGCAGCUGUGGCGGCAGGACCCCAUCUGAUGGAAGGACACUCAGGAGUGCCGCGAGGUGCCUCCUGGGAGGACGCCAGCCAGGGAAGAGGAAGGAGGAAGUCAUCCCCAUACACUGGCGGGGGCUAGACACCACGCGGCAAGUAUGGAAGCAGGACUGAGUGUGGGGUGCCCGCUGUGGCCUCACAUUCGCAGGAAAGGUCGCCAGCCAUGCCCUGAAGGGGUGCUGCCACGGGACCCCUGCCUUCCCACGCAAGAGACCCAGACACUUGGCAAAAGAAGUGAUUCAUGCACGGAAAGAGGCCACACUUCUGAAACACGGGGCCAACUGCAGGCCAGGAACCUGGGAACACGACGGCACCAUCUGCCAUGCCAGGCUUCCGGCCACCGUGCCAGCCUCCACCUUGACCUUGACUCACAGAGUCGGGCUGGAAUCAGCAUGUGCCCCAAGGAGCAGAGACCCCGUGUGCUGGCCAGCAGCCACCCGGGAGUGCAUCCAGGGGUCCUGGAGCGGCUGGGACCACCUCCCAAGGCGGGAGGGGCAGGCAGCAGGUUUCUCUAAGCUGCACCUCCCUGAAGUCCCCAA
This is a long non-coding RNA of Ailuropoda melanoleuca (giant panda), 645 nucleotides long. RefSeq lists it as uncharacterized. NCBI's taxonomy places the organism in Eukaryota, Metazoa, Chordata, Mammalia, Carnivora, Ursidae. The transcript has 3 exons. The record is from RefSeq and is a predicted model, not a curated record.